UCAUGUGGCACUAACAUGUGGGAGAUGAAGCUAAGCAGGGCUGGGCCUGGUCAGGACUUGGAUGGGAGACUGCUGGGAAUAUCAGGUGCCACAGGGG
This 97-nucleotide ribosomal RNA is filed under the name Periophthalmus magnuspinnatus. The record is from RNAcentral. Lineage: Eukaryota; Metazoa; Chordata; Actinopteri; Gobiiformes; Gobiidae.